RNAcentral lists this ribosomal RNA (411 nucleotides) under Triticum aestivum (bread wheat). Its description in RNAcentral is "partial small subunit ribosomal RNA". Lineage: Eukaryota; Viridiplantae; Streptophyta; Magnoliopsida; Poales; Poaceae. The record is from RNAcentral.
AUGGUAGAUUUUACCAGCAACAACCUCACAGGCCGUAUUCCAAGAAGUUUAGGGAAUUUCACUAAACUCACUAUCUUGUACCUUGGUGGUAACAAAUUCUCUGGAUAUAUCCCUCAAGAACUAGGUCAUCUCUUGAAUUUGCAAGAGUUGUCUCUUAGGCAAAAUAACCUCACUGGUUCCAUUCCAAAUACUUUUCGGGGUUUGAUUAACCUCACUGCCUUGUACCUAUGGGGUAACCAACUUUCUGGGCAUAUUCCUCCAGAACUAGGUUACCUUGUAAGUCUGGGAAUAUUAGAUCUUAACUCCAACAAGCUCAAGGGUUCCAUCCCCGAUACCUUUGGGAGUCUGAAUAACUUCACUGUUUUGUAUCUAUGGGAUAAUCAACUUUCCGGCAAGUUCCUCGAGAACUAG